AGCUCUGUAAGCGUAUACCAAAGUUGUUGCAGUUAAAACGCUCGUAGUCGGAUUUUGGGGCAGCCCGUGCUGUGCGCGUAGUGCGUGCGGCGCUGGGAUGUUCUUUUGUGGAGGGCGGUGCGUCGUGGCUUUACUGUCGCGGCGUAUCGGCGCCACCGUUUACUGUGAAAAAAUUAGAGUGUUCAAAGCAGGCAUUCAUCGUGCCCGAAUACAUGAGCAUGGAAUAAUGGAACAGGACUACGGUCACUGCACUUUUUCCGUUGGUUUCGGAGGACCGAAGUAAUGAUUAAGAGGGACAGUUGGGGGCAUCCGUAUUUCGUAGUCAGAGGUGAAAUUCUUGGAUCUGCGAAAGACGAACGAGUGCGAAAGCAUUUGCCAAGAGUGUUUUCAUUAAUCAAGA
Molecule: ribosomal RNA, 400 nt
Filed under: phytoplankton environmental sample
Lineage: Eukaryota
Description: partial small subunit ribosomal RNA
Rfam family: Eukaryotic small subunit ribosomal RNA
Source: RNAcentral